AGUACCCAAAGCUUAUCUGGAACAAAUCGCUAUUUAGCGGAUAAACUUUAUGCACAACUGGUGAAACUGGCCCUAAAAGUUCUGUCUGAUAUGUGAACUUUACAUUAAUUUAGUUACUAUAAAAAUUAAUAUGUUGGAUUUAUAUGUUAUUGUACUCUGUGUGAUUAUGUGUUAUUUUACUCAAUAAAUAUUAAAUAAAUAGCAA
Melitaea cinxia (Glanville fritillary) is the source of this 205-nucleotide long non-coding RNA. RefSeq lists it as uncharacterized. Lineage: Eukaryota; Metazoa; Arthropoda; Insecta; Lepidoptera; Nymphalidae. The record is from RefSeq and is a predicted model, not a curated record. The transcript is spliced from 2 exons.